Molecule: long non-coding RNA, 265 nt
Filed under: Lathyrus oleraceus (garden pea)
Lineage: Eukaryota; Viridiplantae; Streptophyta; Magnoliopsida; Fabales; Fabaceae
Description: Pisum sativum (pea) long non-coding RNA (PSAT_LNC036119)
Source: RNAcentral
AUUUGGUCCACAACAAUCAAAACAAAACACAAGCACAAUAAUAUAUAUACAAUUAUGUGCUCAAGCGAGCAAAAGGCAAAUUGCAUUAACAUAAACAUGUGCUCAAGUGAGCAAAGAGCAAAAGCAAAUGAAUAAUAUGUACAAGAAUAGUAAAUUGCAUAAAUGUAAAGAGCAAGAAUUAAUUGUUUCUUGAUUUUUUUAUGUACAAGAAUAGUAAAUUGCAUAAAUGUAAAGAUAGAGAAGAUCAAGGUCAAACAAUAGAAAA